Monodelphis domestica (gray short-tailed opossum) is the source of this 895-nucleotide non-coding RNA. NCBI's taxonomy places the organism in Eukaryota, Metazoa, Chordata, Mammalia, Didelphimorphia, Didelphidae. The record is from RefSeq and is a predicted model, not a curated record.
CCGUGAAUGAAAAAGGAAUUUCAGCUCGAUAUCUUUGUACUGCCAAGCUCUGAGGAUGUACUGCUAUCCUCUGAGGAUGUCUGGUUAGCUGUCCAAAGUCUGGGCUGCUGUCCUGCACCUGGCUCCAACAGAAUUGUGGUGUUGAUCUGAUUGUGGUUCCCAGAGCUCGUGUUGGAAGGGGAGAAGAGGAUGGGAGCCAGAAGCACAGCGAGGGGAGUAGGAGACCAGGCAAGAUGAUGAAUGCUCAUCCCCCAAGAAGUUCACUCUCAGCUUUGUUUUCUCUCUGUGGAGAUCAAAGCCUGGUCAUCUCCAGCUGACACAUCUGUAAACCCAAGGACCGCUGGGCCUUGCUACCCAUUCCAAGGAGCCCUGAGGACCUCUGAAUCUUCCUCCCUGUCCUGCAGCAGAGCUUUCUUUUAUAAAUUGUUUCUCCAAACUGGGAUGUCCUUAAAAAAGGAUGAUUUUAUUUUUUAUAAACGUAUCUCAGGUGCUUAGCACAGUCCUUUGCACAUAUUAAAUUCUUAAAACUUUUAAAAAUUCUUUUCAUUCAUUGAUAUUGAACCAGAUUUACUUUAUGUGCAAAAUUACGAGAAGGCAAGGGUUAUCUUUUGCUGACAAAGAAUAUGAGGGAGAUUUUUCAUUCAGAUGCAUUAUAUGUUUCCAGAGAGAUGUUGGGAUUAACAAAAACAUAGAAGAACUCACUCACAGGGUCACCAUUUUAUGGAAUACUACAUAAUUUCCAAGAUGUGCUACACAGAAUGGAAGUGUGAGCCUCUGCCACAACCAUACAUCCUGCCAUGGACUAAAGAGAUCAGUACAUUGAGAAGUUCCUCUUUAGGAUUAGCCUUUGCUGGGAGCUGGUAAUAUGACGUGUGUAUUCUUCCUUACCGCCUUG